UACGGCCACAUCGUUGAAACACCAGUUCCCGUACGAUCAUCGAAGUUAAGCAACAUCGAGCCUGAUCAGAACCUUGAUGGGGUGACCACUCAGGAAUACGAGGUGCUGUAAG
Molecule: non-coding RNA, 112 nt
Organism: Acanthosepion pharaonis
Lineage: Eukaryota; Metazoa; Mollusca; Cephalopoda; Sepiida; Sepiidae
Source: the annotation of a GenBank genome assembly